RNAcentral lists this ribosomal RNA (1249 nucleotides) under metagenome. RNAcentral's name for it is "bacterial LSU rRNA". It matches the Rfam family "Bacterial large subunit ribosomal RNA", at positions 1635 to 2876 of the family's 2925-position model. The record is from RNAcentral.
UAUACGACCGUACCGCAAACCGACACUGGUGCGCGAGAUGAGUAUUCUAAGGCGCUUGAGAGAACUCAGGAGAAGGAACUCGGCAAAUUGACACCGUAACUUCGGAAGAAGGUGUGCCCUAUUAGUGUGUAGUGAACAACGAAGCAUGAAUGGGUUGCAAAAAAUCGGUGGCUGCGACUGUUUAUUAAAAACACAGCACUCUGCAAACACGAAAGUGGACGUAUAGGGUGUGACGCCUGCCCGGUGCUGGAAGAUUAAAUGAUGGGGUGCAAGCUCUUGAUUGAAGUCCCAGUAAACGGCGGCCGUAACUAUAACGGUCCUAAGGUAGCGAAAUUCCUUGUCGGGUAAGUUCCGACCUGCACGAAUGGCGUAACGAUGGCCACACUGUCUCCUCCUGAGACUCAGCGAAGUUGAAAUGUUUGUGAUGAUGCAAUCUCCCCGCGGAAAGACGGAAAGACCCCAUGAACCUUUACUGUAGCUUUGUAUUGGACUUUGAACAGAUCUGUGUAGGAUAGGUGGGAGGCUUUGAAGCAGGGUCGCUAGAUCUUGUGGAGCCAACGUUGAAAUACCACCCUGGUGUGUUUGAGGUUCUAACCUAGGUCCAUUAUCUGGAUCGGGGACAGUGCAUGGUAGGCAGUUUGACUGGGGCGGUCUCCUCCCAAAGCGUAACGGAGGAGUUCGAAGGUACGCUAGUUACGGUCGGACAUCGUGACGAUAGUGCAAUGGCAUAAGCGUGCUUAACUGCGAGACUGACAAGUCGAGCAGAUGCGAAAGCAGGACAUAGUGAUCCGGUGGUUCUGUAUGGAAGGGCCAUCGCUCAACGGAUAAAAGGUACUCUGGGGAUAACAGGCUGAUACCGCCCAAGAGUUCAUAUCGACGGCGGUGUUUGGCACCUCGAUGUCGGCUCAUCUCAUCCUGGGGCUGUAGCCGGUCCCAAGGGUAUGGCUGUUCGCCAUUUAAAGAGGUACGUGAGCUGGGUUUAAAACGUCGUGAGACAGUUUGGUCCCUAUCUUCCGUGGGCGCUGCAGAUUUGAGGAAGCCUGCUCCUAGUACGAGAGGACCGGAGUGGACACACCUCUGGUGUAUCGGUUGUCACGCCAGUGGCAUUGCCGAGUAGCUAAGUGUGGAAGAGAUAACCGCUGAAAGCAUCUAAGCGGGAAACUCGUUUCAAGAUGAGAUCUGCCGGGGCCUUGAGCCCCCUAAAGAGUCGUUCAAGACCAGGACGUUGAUAGGUCAGGUGUGGAAGCGU